RNAcentral lists this ribosomal RNA (253 nucleotides) under uncultured bacterium. RNAcentral describes it as "partial 16S ribosomal RNA". It matches the Rfam family "Bacterial small subunit ribosomal RNA", at positions 524 to 776 of the family's 1533-position model. The record is from RNAcentral.
GACGUAGGGCGCGAGCGUUGUCCGGAUUUAUUGGGCGUAAAGAGCUCGUAGGCGGCUUGUUGCGUCGACUGUGAAAACCCGCGGCUUAACCGCGGGCUUGCAGUUGAUACGGGCAGGCUAGAGUUCGGUAGGGGAGACUGGAAUUCCUGGUGUAGCGGUGAAAUGCGCAGAUAUCAGGAGGAACACCGAUGGCGAAGGCAGGUCUCUGGGCCACUACUGACGCUGAGAAGCGAAAGCGUGGGGAGCGAACAGG